Felis catus (domestic cat) is the source of this 1466-nucleotide RNA transcript. It is a transcript of the gene named CD47 molecule, with no coding region annotated. The record is from RefSeq and is a predicted model, not a curated record. Lineage: Eukaryota; Metazoa; Chordata; Mammalia; Carnivora; Felidae. The transcript has 11 exons.
GGGGAGCGAGCGGGGGGGGGGGGGUUGCCAGGAGCGCGCGUGCGCACGGCCAGGCAGCCUGGGCGGCGGGUCCUGCCAGUGACGGACGGCGGCGGCCGGUCCUGCUUGUGACGGCGGUGGCGGCAGAUCCUGCCUGUGACUGCUUCGGUGGCUGCUCCAGACACCUGCGGCGGCGCCGGCGGCGACCCCACGGCGGCCGCGAUGUGGCCCCUGGUGGUGCUGCUGCUGCUGGGCUCGGCUUGCUGCGGUUCGGCUCAGCUAAUAUUUAACAUAACCAGAUCUGUAGAAUACACUGCUUGCAAUGAAACUGUUAUCAUCCCAUGCUAUGUUAAUAAUGUGGAGGCCACAAACAUUAAUGAAAUGUAUGUAAAGUGGAAAUUUAGAGGAAAAGACAUUUUCACCUUUGAUGGAGCUGUAGAAAAGACCACUCGCGACAAUAAAUUUAAGAGUACAAAAAUCAUACCACAGAAAUUACUAAAUGGCAUUGCCUCUUUGGAGAUGAACAAGGAAGAGGCUGUUGUAGGAAACUACACUUGUGAAGUAACAGAAUUAAGCAGAGAAGGCGAAACCAUCAUAGAACUAAAAUACCGUAUUGUUUCAUGGUUUUCUCCAAAUGAAAAUAUCCUCAUUGUCAUUUUCCCAAUUUUGGCUGUACUACUUUCUUGGGGACAGUUUGGUAUUGUGACACUUAAAUAUAAAUCCAGUCUCAUGAAGGAGAAAACCAUUCUUUUAUUUGUUGGUGGACUAGUGCUCACUAUAGCUGUCAUUGUUGGAGCCAUUCUUUUUGUCCCAGGUGAAUAUUCAACAAAGAAUUCUUGUGGACUUGGUUUAAUUGUGGUUCCUACAGUGAUUUUAAUAUUACUUCAGUACUGUGUGUUUAUGAUAGGUGUUUGGAUGUCUUCCUUCACCAUCGCCAUAUUGAUCCUUCAGGUACUGGGCUAUGUGCUCUCUGUGGUUGGACUAAGCCUCUGUGUCUCAGAGUGCACCCCAGUGAACGGCCCUCUUCUGAUUUCAGGUUUGGGUAUUAUAGCUCUAGCAGAAUUACUUGGAUUAGUUUAUAUGAAACUUGUUGCUUCCAAUCAGAAGACUAUACAACCUCCUAGGAACUGGAAAGUUUCUGUGUAAGAAUAAUGGUUAUUAUCUCUGCUGAAGGAAGCUGAUUCCAGUAUAUUGCCUCACCUAUUGGCUCCAUUUGAUAAAGCUGUAGAGGAACCCCUUAAUGAGUAACUGAAGUGAAGUGAUGGACUCUGAUUUGGAAAGUAGUAAGACAUGAAAGGAAUACAAUUGUGUUUAAGCACCAUGGCCUUGAUUCACUGUUCAGGAGAAGAAAACAAGAAAAAUUACUGGUUCUCAUCUGUGGGAGAAAGUAAAUCUUUGACCCUUAAAUGAUUGUUACAGUUAAGUUUUUAUUCAAAGCAUUUGUAAUUUAGUUAAUAAAAGAAUUAUUAUCUGUGUUGUGUGCCCAA